RNAcentral lists this ribosomal RNA (443 nucleotides) under uncultured bacterium. RNAcentral describes it as "partial 16S ribosomal RNA". It matches the Rfam family "Bacterial small subunit ribosomal RNA", at positions 338 to 795 of the family's 1533-position model. The record is from RNAcentral.
CCUAGGGGAGGCAGCAGUGGGGAAUAUUGGGCAAUGGGCGCAAGCCUGACCCAGCAACGCCGCGUGAAGGAAGAAGGCUUUCGGGUUGUAAACUUCUUUUCUCAGGGAUGAAGAAAGUGACGGUACCUGAGGAAUAAGCCACGGCUAACUACGUGACAGCAGCCGCGGUAAUACGUAGGUGGCAGGCGUUAUCCGGAUUUAUUGGGGGUAAAGGGCGUGUAGGCGGGAGCGCAAGUCAGAUGUGAAAACUGCGGGCGUAACCCUGAGCCUGCUGUUGAAACUGUGUGUCUUGAGUGCUGGAGCGGCAAGCGGAAUUCCGGGUGUAGCGGUGAAAUGCGUAGAUAUCCGGAGGAACACCAGUGGCGAAGGCGGAUUGCUGGACAGUAACUGACGCUGAGGCGCGAAAGCGUGGGGAGCAAACAGGAUUAGAUACCCGAGUAGUC